GGGGUGGUGGCGCAAUUGGCUAGCGCGUAGGUCUCAUAAUCCUGAGGUCGAGAGUUCGAGCCUCUCUCACCCCA
Molecule: transfer RNA, 74 nt
Filed under: Triticum aestivum (bread wheat)
Lineage: Eukaryota; Viridiplantae; Streptophyta; Magnoliopsida; Poales; Poaceae
Description: tRNA-Met (CAT) (tRNA-Met-CAT-10-1, tRNA-Met-CAT-11-1)
Rfam family: tRNA
About the family: Transfer RNA (tRNA) molecules are approximately 80 nucleotides in length.
Source: RNAcentral